This 468-nucleotide ribosomal RNA is filed under the name uncultured bacterium. RNAcentral describes it as "partial 16S ribosomal RNA". It matches the Rfam family "Bacterial small subunit ribosomal RNA", at positions 28 to 507 of the family's 1533-position model. The record is from RNAcentral.
GACGAACGCUGGCGGCGUGCUUAACACAUGCAAGUCGAACGGAAAGGCCCUGCUUUUGUGGGGUGCUCGAGUGGCGAACGGGGGAGUAACACGUGAGUAACCUGCCCUUGACUUUGGGAUAACUUCAGGAAACUGGGGCUAAUACCGGAUAGGAGCUCCUGCUGCAUGGUGGGGGUUGGUAAGUUUCGGCGGUUGGGGAUGGACUCGCGGCUUAUCAGCUUGUUGGUGGGGUAGUGGCGUACCAAGGCUUUGACGGGUAGCCGGCCUGGGAGGGUGACCGGCCACAUUGGGACUGAGAUACGGCCCGGACUCCUACGGGAGGCAGCAGUGGGGAAUAUUGCACAAUGGGCUGAAGCCUGAUGCAGCAACGCCGCGUGCGGGAUGACGGCCUUCGGGUUGUAAACCGCUUUCGCCUGUGACGAAGCGUGAGUGACGGUAAUGGGUAAAGAAGCACCGGCUAACUACGUG